GUGCCAGCCGCCGCGGUAAUACGGAGGGAGCUAGCGUUGUUCGGAAUUACUGGGCGUAAAGCGCACGUAGGCGGCUACUCAAGUCAGGGGUGAAAUCCCGGAGCUUAACUCCGGAACUGCCUCUGAAACUAGGUAGCUAGAAUCUUGGAGAGGUCAGUGGAAUUCCGAGUGUAGAGGUGAAAUUCGUAGAUAUUCGGAAGAACACCAGUGGCGAAGGCGACUGACUGGACAAGUAUUGACGCUGAGGUGCGAAAGCGUGGGGAGCAAACAGGAUUAGAUACCCUAGUAGUCC
Molecule: ribosomal RNA, 292 nt
Filed under: uncultured bacterium
Lineage: Bacteria
Description: partial 16S ribosomal RNA
Rfam family: Bacterial small subunit ribosomal RNA
Source: RNAcentral